GGGACAGAGUGAGCCACACACACAAACAAGACAGACACAGUGGCAGUGUUUCCAUCAACAUAUUUUUAUGUGCAUUUUGAAGUAUCGCUUUAGAAAAGGUUGAUGGAAAUGGCAAAAUUCAAAACACUUCCACAGUUUUGCAAAAAAGUUUUUAUGCUUGCUUGAGGUGUUUUUUGCCUCUUUCAAAAAAUACUUAAUCCACUAAAUGUGAGAUGGGGACACUUGACUCACAUAACAAUGAUGAUUACGGGAGCGAUUCCUCUGUCAGACAACAAACACGACAGCAGAGGCGACACUACUCUGCUUGGUGAAACGCUAAACUGUGAACCGCUGUGAUCAGGUGUGGUGUUGUGGAUCACCUGACAGAGAACACCUCCCUUCUAUGAGACUUUUAAUUCACCACAGAGCUAUAAAGGAGCCACAAUAAUUGUUCUGCAUCGAUUUGUAAUACCUACAUCCUUUCACUGUUGGCGCUGUGCAGAGCUAGGAGGAGAUACAAGGAAGGUAUAGGAAAUACAGAGAAACACAAGGUCACAACCUGAGGAGCGUGAGGAGCAAGGGCUACACAUACAGCAUAUUUGCAUCCGACCCCAACGCCUCUUCAUCUGGCAGCUGAAUGAUGAGGUGACCUUCCCACCUGCAUCAGGACUGAAUAGAAAUCACCUGUCCGCUGCUUUGAAAUGACAGCUCACCUCUUCCAGGAACUUUUCAGCUCGCCCUCAGAGCUGCCUUCCUCCUGUCCUCGCACCAGAGCUCCCUGUCGUGCAAAAACGUCUGCAUUACACAUAAAUGUUGUUUUGUACUUGUGUAAUGAUGGGGAUCUCAGACAUAAUCAGUUGGUUUUGCUGCGGCAUUGAAGUCAGUGUGAAGUCACUCUGGAGAAGCAGCUAAGUGACUUAAAUGUAAAUUUAAUAUUGUAAUGUCACCCUGUAAUUUGUAUCAUAAUGGAUUUUGAAAGUUGUUGAAAGAUGUUGGCUUAAUUGUUUAAUAAAUUGAGCGUGGCCAUACAGAAUCACAACUUGGUUCUAACACUAAAUGAGAUUUUUUUCAGUUUUCAGUGAUAUAAUGGUGGCACUGACAGCAAUGUUUUCUACUGUCUGUAUCUUGACGCAUUCAUAAAUUAAACACCACUGUGAC
Molecule: long non-coding RNA, 1137 nt
Organism: Myripristis murdjan (pinecone soldierfish)
Lineage: Eukaryota; Metazoa; Chordata; Actinopteri; Holocentriformes; Holocentridae
Exons: 3
Source: RefSeq, a predicted model, not a curated record